Oreochromis niloticus (Nile tilapia) is the source of this 3582-nucleotide long non-coding RNA. RefSeq lists it as uncharacterized. The record is from RefSeq and is a predicted model, not a curated record. The transcript is spliced from 4 exons. NCBI's taxonomy places the organism in Eukaryota, Metazoa, Chordata, Actinopteri, Cichliformes, Cichlidae.
UUCUUGCCUGCAGACGGCCGUGGCCAGAGGAGGAGAAGGACUAUGAGAGAUGCCCGGAGGAGCGCCGCGUGGCCACGGGCUGGGCGGUUUGCCCGCGGAGGACUCGUGCACAUUACCAGCAUGGUUCAAGGAUGAAGCCGGCGUGGCAGCUGUAAUGAAGCACGGUUCCUUCCACGGGGGGCCCGGGAGGCUUCGCCGUCACCCUGCCGUUCUCCAGAGACGUCCACACCCGCGGGCACAGCAGCACUGGAAACAAGAAGAGAGAGUUAUGGAAAGGUUUCACAGUCAGAUGCAUCCCUCAUUUAUGACGUCUGCUUCCAAAAAGACGCCAGUUUGAGACUUCAGAGUGGGACGUCACUCACACCAUCUUUUAUAUACAGACUGUGGUGAAAAAACAUUAUGGAAGGCACCAAACAUGGCCAGACUGUAAGUAACCACUUUUAUUUCAACCUGUCACUGGUGACAUAAAAUACUGUGAAGAAGACUUGAGUGACUGCUCAUUUUUUCAUAUUAUGUUUCCAAGGAACGAGACUCCCCCCCCCAAGUGGUGUUGAGCAAUAAUUCUCCGGCUCUCUGAAGGUCUUUCAAGUUUUUCUUUGGUAAAUGGAAGACCGGCUGUCAAGAAGCCAGAGUUAAGGAAGGGAAAUAGAGAAAAGGCUCAGGUAUGCCAAAUUACACAAGAACAGGACUGAAAAUCAGGGGUAACAGAUCUUUUAUGGUCAUUAAUCCAAACUUGAAGUUUUUGGUUCAAAUGAUCAUCAGUGUGUCUUUAAAACACAGUGGAAGCUCUGUCUUGGUUUGGGGCUGAUUAGCAACAGGUUCACUGUUUAGUGCAACAAUGAUCCCAAACACACAAUCAUUGCAGUACAAGUUCACCUGGAUAGAAAAAUAAACCACAAUGGCUCACUAUCAGGCAUGGAUCGGCCUCCCCAGAGCCUAAACGUCAACACUAUUGAAGUACUCAGCAGAGAACUGAACAAAAAGCAGCCAACAUCCAAAGAAGAGCUUUGAAGAGCCUUUAUGAAGCCUGGAGAAUUGCAUGUCUUUCCUUAAGUUGCUGAAAUCAUUUUCCAUUCUUGUAGCAAAUAUAAAGAAAUCAUGGUUGGCUUAAGACUUUUGCAUGUAUUGGCUUUUGCAUUGCAUGCAUUCCAUUGAAAGUAUUCAUGGAUUUUCAGUAUUGUGGGUGGCCGACAAACUAGAAAUGAACAUUUCUUGAGCAGUAAAAGUAUUUGUAGAGCUUCAAAACAUCCUGCAGCUCAGUUACAUUCAGAAGAGUUUUCCUUUACCAAAAGGUUUCAUUUAGUAUUCUUUGUAAUGAGAUAAAGGAGCAGGGAAUGCUUUGGGAAUAGGAGAGUUUGCAGCUGGAUGAAUGUUUCACCUCAGCCUUUUGUGAGCAGAUUAGAAUUUUGCUCUGUUGCCUUGUCAGUCAGUUUAAUCUACCAUUGUAACGUGAGGGCCGAGUCGGACGGUGCAGGAGUCCAAAUGUAACAACUCAUUUUGUUCCAGUGCUUGAAACUACAUCUCAUGGCCUUCAGAAGCAACCAGGUCAGUGAAGGAAAGAGUGACUGUUGGCCUUAGUCUCCUCACGCUAACAUUUAACAUAUAGUUUAUCAGAACGUCGCCUUGUUGAAUGAGGAAGUAUAAAAUCUGCACAAGUCUACGUUAGUAGGAAGGCAUGGGGUCAAUGGCAAAAAUCAGAGGAUAACAGUUCCUGCCUUAGUAUUAUAACGAGUGGUGCAGAAGUGUACAUUAUACUAUUAUUAGAUUUAGGAUCACAUUUUUAUUAGCACCUCAUCUUACUGAACUCAUGUUUAUAUUAGAGUUUAAAAGAAGUAUCAGUUUAAACUAACUUGACAUGCUUGUCUUUGGAAGGCCCGAGCAGACAGGUGACAGUGCUAACCAACCCAGUGACAGACUGGGGACCUGUCCAGGAUGUACCCCACCAGCCUCAGCCCCCCUGCGCAACCCUGAACUGGAUAAACAGAACAGAAUGGAUGGAUGGAUUUUAAAUGACCUGCAAGCUUUGUGUCAUUAACGGUUCUUUAAAACUAGAAAAUAUAAAAUAUGAUUGUAAUCAGUAUUUUUAAUACUAAUAUUUUAUUAUUAUGUGACAAUUUUAAAAUAGCGGGCAAAAACUUACAGCAGUGUCUUGGAUUCACGGAGCGGUUUCAGCUCACUGUUUAACCGUUUGGCUACAGCUUUACUGGUUUGGCCCUCUCACUGCUCUCCUAUUGUGCCCGGCCAAAUCGAGCUGCUAUUUUCGGAUGAAACACCUCCAAAAAUUCAUUGAACACGAUCUGCUCUGUGCCAGUCAGUUUAUGGAGGGAGGGAAAGGUUACAUGUAAUAGAGUUGAAAAUUAAAAUAUGUAAAGAUGUCAAAACAUCACAAUAUCAGUGAUUACAAAUGGGUUACAUCUUUAUUUCUUUCAGAAAAAAGGGUUUUAUGUAAACUAUAACAUUCAUUCUUUUGCUUUUCACCAUGCUGGAGUCUCUUCCUUUGGCAUGUUUUCCACAGUCCUGGUCAGUAAAACCAUUGGGGACUAAUGUGAGUGAAACAUCACCAAGGGUAGAAUGGCUUACAAGGAACUAGGACAAGAACUCCUUUCAGUGCCUGAAAUUCAUUAAAAGACCUAACAUGAGUGUAGAAUAUAAAUAUAAAUAAUAAUAUUGGAAAUAUUCUCACUCAGAUACUUGAGGAAACAGAUGGUACACGACUCUCCUGCUUUAAUAACCAGUUAAAAACAUGUUUGCAAAGAAAUGAAAAGUAACCACAUGUAAAAUAAAAGUAACACUGCAAUAACCUGUUAGUACAGUUGUUAUUGUGUGCACCAGUUUAUGGUUUAAAUGUGUUUAAAUGUGUUUAUUUAUGUAAAGGAAAACACAAGAACCAGACACAGGGCAACAAUUCACCCUAGACUCCGGCUGGAGAAUUACUCUCACCUUCUCCAUCCCUGCUGAGUCAGCACACACGGCAUGAUUAACUCUUCAGUCUCUUUUGUUUGUUUAGCUUGUUACAGAUGUGAGAGUCGGGGUUGAUGACUGUGUCUGAUAUCAGGCGCCUUUUGGGUCUUUUGUUUGAGAAACUAACUUGCUUAAUGUGCUUUUUUUUUUUUUUUUUUUGCAUUUCUAAGACCUUUGAGUUUAAUACCUCAGAUGUGUUUCAGCAGGAUUUCUGCCCACAUGAAACAUUAUCCUAAGACUAGUUAGCAAACUAGCAACAGCACUUUGAAACUUGCGUUGGGGAAAGUGUCUCACAGCUGAGAUAAAAUGUCCUAAUACUGGAGCUCUGCUCUUUGCUUGUAAACCUGGCUGCAUGUGCACAGCGUCAGUGCAGAGGAGGGGACCGAGGUGCUGCUGCCGACUGAGAUCACAGUGCUGUGUGUUUGCAUGAGUUUUACAGAUUAACGACAAAAGUUUUGGUGGUGGUAUGAACUCUAUGUCAAUAUUUCAGAAAAAAAGGACAAAGAAAAAAAUAAAAGAAAUAAAACACUCCUCUGUUAGAGCCAUUGUUGCCUUUCUGAGUAAUUCCUCUGCUUCUUCCACUUGUUAGACAGGACAUGUCCCCUGCAUCCAACCUGAAAU